This 23-nucleotide small nuclear RNA is filed under the name Arabidopsis thaliana (thale cress). RNAcentral's name for it is "snRNA_05899". Lineage: Eukaryota; Viridiplantae; Streptophyta; Magnoliopsida; Brassicales; Brassicaceae. The record is from RNAcentral.
UUGUUUUGGUUUUUAGUCGGUUA